This 229-nucleotide ribosomal RNA is filed under the name uncultured Lactobacillus sp. Its description in RNAcentral is "partial 16S ribosomal RNA". It matches the Rfam family "Bacterial small subunit ribosomal RNA", at positions 134 to 354 of the family's 1533-position model. The record is from RNAcentral. Lineage: Bacteria; Bacillati; Bacillota; Bacilli; Lactobacillales; Lactobacillaceae.
GAGAUCGGGAUAACACCUGGAAACAGAUGCUAAUACCGGAUAACAACAGAUGAUGCCUAUCAACUGUUUAAAAGAUGGUUCUGCUAUCACUCUUGGAUGGACCUGCGGUGCAUUAGCUAGUUGGUAGGGGUAACGGCCUACCAAGGCGAUGAUGCAUAGCCGAGUUGAGAGACUGAUCGGCCACAUUGGGACUGAGACACGGCCCAAACUCCUACAGGAGGCAGCAGGG